RNAcentral lists this transfer RNA (75 nucleotides) under Nitrospirota bacterium. Its description in RNAcentral is "Nitrospirae bacterium (groundwater metagenome) tRNA-Gln". It matches the Rfam family "tRNA". From Rfam's summary of the family: Transfer RNA (tRNA) molecules are approximately 80 nucleotides in length. Lineage: Bacteria; Pseudomonadati; Nitrospirota. The record is from RNAcentral.
UGGGGCGUCGACAAGCGGUAAGUCACCAGUUUUUGGUACUGGCAUUCCCAGGUUCGAAUCCUGGCGCCCCAGCCA